UAAGGAAUAUUGGUCAAUGGGCGGAAGCCUGAACCAGCCAUGCCGCGUGCAGGAAGACGGCCCUACGGGUUGUAAACUGCUUUUGUACUGGAAUAAACCUUCGUAUGUAUACGAAGCUGAAUGUACAGUAAGAAUAAGGAUCGGCUAACUCCGUGCCAGCAGCCGCGGUAAUACGGAGGAUCCAAGCGUUAUCCGGAUUUAUUGGGUUUAAAGGGUGCGUAGGCGGUUUAUUAAGUCAGGGGUGAAAGACGGCAGCUUAACUGUCGCAGUGCCCUUGAUACUGAUGAACUUGAAUGUACUAGAAGUAGGCGGAAUGUGACAAGUAGCGGUGAAAUGCAUAGAUAUGUCACAGAACACCGAUUGCGAAGGCAGCUUACUAUGGUAUGAUUGACGCUGAGGCACGAAAGCGUGGGGAUCAAACAGGAUUAGAUACCCGCGUAGUCC
Molecule: ribosomal RNA, 444 nt
Filed under: uncultured bacterium
Lineage: Bacteria
Description: bacterial SSU rRNA
Rfam family: Bacterial small subunit ribosomal RNA
Source: RNAcentral